GUGUUCUCUCUAGGCUCCGGCAUGACGGGUGACUUCUUCCGAGUCUGGCUUCUGCAGCACACAGGGCUUCGCCAGCACCCAGCUCCUGCAGCAUGGGCAGCUCCUGUGACAGCAGGCGCCCGCAGCCUGCAAAGCGUCUCCAGUGCCGCCGCCUCAGUGAACCUCAACCAGCGGCACCUAGCAGCUUUCUCUGCCACCCUCUUCAGGCAGGAAGCCCGCCUGACCCCAUGUCUCAGGCUGCCAGAGGAGCGUGCGAUGAGGAAGGCUGGACUGUCUUCACAGGACACCAGGGAGAAGCCUCAAGCCACUGCCCCCUGACAAGUCGCAGCUCUCCAGCCUGUCUCCUCACUCCCCUCCCCUCCACAUGGGGGGGUUGGGGUGGGGGCGGGGAAGGUUCGGGGCAGGGGUCAUUUCAGCUACUGGGCACCAGUCUCCUCCUCAUGUUUAUCCUGUUCCCUUUGCUUGAAAGGUUCGUACUCCAGAUCCUUGUAAAACCGCUUCUCACCCUUUGAGUCUCAGCUUAAAUGUCCCCUCCUUGGAGGGGUCUUCCCUGACAAUGAAGCUCCGACCGUCCUCUCCUGUUUUACCCAGUUCAUUUCUUUCUGGCAUUUGUAACUACUUGAAGUUAAAGUGUGU
This 636-nucleotide long non-coding RNA is filed under the name Homo sapiens (human). RNAcentral describes it as "HSALNT0384220". Lineage: Eukaryota; Metazoa; Chordata; Mammalia; Primates; Hominidae. The record is from RNAcentral.